Molecule: ribosomal RNA, 490 nt
Filed under: uncultured bacterium
Lineage: Bacteria
Description: partial 16S ribosomal RNA
Rfam family: Bacterial small subunit ribosomal RNA
Source: RNAcentral
AUUGAACGCUGGCGGCAUGCUUUACACAUGCAAGUCGGACGGCAGCACAGAGAAGCUUGCUUCUUGGGUGGCGAGUGGCGAACGGGUGAGUAAUAUAUCGGAACGUACCGAGUAAUGGGGGAUAACUAAUCGAAAGAUUAGCUAAUACCGCAUAUUCUCUGAGGAGGAAAGCAGGGGACCUUCGGGCCUUGCGUUAUUCGAGCGGCCGAUAUCUGAUUAGCUAGUUGGUGGGGUAAAGGCCUACCAAGGCGACGAUCAGUAGCGGGUCUGAGAGGAUGAUCGGCCACACGGGAACUGAGACACGGCCCAGACUCCUACGGGAGGCAGCAGUGGGGAAUUUUGGGCAAUGGGCGCAAGCCUGAUCCAGCCAUGCCGCGUGUCUGAAGAAGGCCUUCGGGUUGUAAAGGACGUUUGUCAGGGAAGAAAAGGCUGUUGCUAAUAUCGACAGCUGAUGACGGUACCGGAAGAAUAAGCACCGGCUAACUACGUG